UACGUAGGGUGCGAGCGUUGUCCGGAUUUACUGGGCGUAAAGAGCUCGUAGGCGGUUUGUCACGUCGUCUGUGAAAACCCGAGGCUUAACCUCGGGCCUGCAGGCGAUACGGGCAGACUUGAGUACUGUAGGGGAGACUGGAAUUCCUGGUGUAGCGGUGGAAUGCGCAGAUAUCAGGAGGAACACCGGUGGCGAAGGCGGGUCUCUGGGACGGUACUGACGCUGAGACGCGAAAGCGUGGGGAGCGAACAGG
RNAcentral lists this ribosomal RNA (253 nucleotides) under uncultured bacterium. RNAcentral's name for it is "partial 16S ribosomal RNA". It matches the Rfam family "Bacterial small subunit ribosomal RNA", at positions 524 to 776 of the family's 1533-position model. The record is from RNAcentral.